CGUAGGUGAACCUGCGGAGGGAUCAUUACAGAGUUGCAAAACUCCCUAAACCAUUGUGAACGUUACCUAUACCGUUGCUUCGGCGGGCGGCCCCGGGGUUUACCCCCCGGGCGCCCCUGGGCCCCACCGCGGGCGCCCGCCGGAGGUCACCAAACUCUUGAUAAUUUAUGGCCUCUCUGAGUCUUCUGUACUGAAUAAGUCAAAACUUUCAACAACGGAUCUCUUGGUUCUGGCAUCGAUGAAGAACGCAGCGAAAUGCGAUAAGUAAUGUGAAUUGCAGAAUUCAGUGAAUCAUCGAAUCUUUGAACGCACAUUGCGCCCGCCAGCAUUCUGGCGGGCAUGCCUGUUCGAGCGUCAUUUCAACCAUCAAGCCCCCGGGCUUGUGUUGGGGACCUGCGGCUGCCGCAGGCCCUGAAAAGCAGUGGCGGGCUCGCUGUCGCACCGAGCGUAGUAGCAUACAUCUCGCUCUGGUCGCGCCGCGGGUUCCGGCCGUUAAACCACCUUUUAACCCAAGGUUGACCUCGGAUCAGGUAGGAAGACCCGCUGAACUUAAGCAUAUCAAUAAGC
RNAcentral lists this ribosomal RNA (567 nucleotides) under Chaetomium globosum. RNAcentral describes it as "eukaryotic LSU rRNA". The stretch from base 204 to 357 matches the Rfam family "5.8S ribosomal RNA". Lineage: Eukaryota; Fungi; Ascomycota; Sordariomycetes; Sordariales; Chaetomiaceae. The record is from RNAcentral.